RNAcentral lists this ribosomal RNA (1367 nucleotides) under Torrentispora novae-zelandiae. Its description in RNAcentral is "eukaryotic LSU rRNA". It matches the Rfam family "Eukaryotic large subunit ribosomal RNA", at positions 1 to 1324 of the family's 3401-position model. Lineage: Eukaryota; Fungi; Ascomycota; Sordariomycetes; Xenospadicoidales; Xenospadicoidaceae. The record is from RNAcentral.
GGUUGACCUCGGAUCAGGUAGGAAUACCCGCUGAACUUAAGCAUAUCAAUAAGCGGAGGAAAAGAAACCAACAGGGAUUGCCCCAGUAACGGCGAGUGAAGCGGCAACAGCUCAGAUUUGAAAUCUGGCCUCGCGGCCCGAGUUGUAAUCUGUAGAGGAUGCUUCUGGUGCGGCGCCCGCCGAGUUCCCUGGAACGGGACGCCAUAGAGGGUGAGAGCCCCGUAUGGCGGGACGCCUAGCCGUUGUGAAGCUCCUUCGACGAGUCGAGUAGUUUGGGAAUGCUGCUCAAAACGGGAGGUAAAUUUCUUCUAAAGCUAAAUACCGGCUGGAGACCGAUAGCGCACAAGUAGAGUGAUCGAAAGAUGAAAAGCACUUUGAAAAGAGGGUUAAACAGCACGUGAAAUUGUUGAAAGGGAAGGGGUCGUGACCAGAUUUGGGCUCGGGGGAUCCGCCGGCGUUCUCGCCGGUGCACUCCGCCGGGUCCAGGCCAGCAUCGGUUCUUCUGGGGGGAUAAAGGCGGCGGGAACGUGGCUCCCACGGGAGUGUUAUAGCCCGCCGCGCAAUACCCCCGGGGGGACCGAGGUACGCGCUCCGCAAGGAUGCUGGCGUAAUGGUUACCACCCGCCCGUCUUGAAACACGGACCAAGGAGUCAAGCAUUAGGGCGAGUGUUUGGGUGCCAAACCCGCACGCGUAAUGAAAGUGAACGUAGGUGAGAGCUUCGGCGCAUCAUCGACCGAUCCUGAUGUAUUCGGAUGGAUUUGAGUAAGAGCCUUACCGCUUGGACCCGAAAGAUGGUGAACUAUGCCUGUAUAGGGUGAAGCCAGAGGAAACUCUGGUGGAGGCUCGCAGCGGUUCUGACGUGCAAAUCGAUCGUCAAAUAUGGGCAUGGGGGCGAAAGUGAGUUCAAUCCUUCCUGGAGAAGGCAUAUCCGAUCUAUUACUAUGAUACAGUGGCUAACCGAAUUUCUCUAGGACUAAUCGAACCGUCUAGUAGCUGGUUACCGCCGAAGUUUCCCUCAGGAUAGCAGUGUUGUCUUCAGUUUUAUGAGGUAAAGCGAAUGAUUAGGGACUCGGGGGCGCUAUUUAGCCUUCAUCCAUUCUCAAACUUUAAAUAUGUAAGAAGCCCUUGUUGCUUAGUUGAACGUGGGCCUUCGAAUGUAGCAACACUAGUGGGCCAUUUUUGGUAAGCAGAACUGGCGAUGCGGGAUGAACCGAACGCGGGGUUAAGGUGCCGGAGUGGACGCUCAUCAGACACCACAAAAGGCGUUAAUACAUCUUGACAGCAGGACGGUGGCCAUGGAAGUCGGAAUCCGCUAAGGACUGUGUAACAACUCACCUGCCGAAUGUAUUAGCCCUGAAAAUGGAUG